CUCUAUAACACCUACAGGUCAUAUGUAUGAUUGUUAGGUUUAUUUGCUGCUUAGUCCUUGAUCAGAAAUGCAACUCCCAAAUAUAAUAUAGUAGGCCCCCUUACCCAUAGUUUCAGUUACCUGAGGUCAAUUGUGGUCCAAAAAUAUUAAACGGAAAAUUCCAGAAAUAAAUAAUUCAUGAAUUUUAAAUGGCAUGCUGCUGUGAGUAGCUUGAUGAAAUCUCCAGCCUUCCUGCUCCGUCCCACCAAGGAUGUGAAUCAUCCCUUUGUUCAGGGGAUCCGUGCUGUCUGCCUCCCCACCCAUUAGUCACUUUGUAGCCAUCUAGAUUAUCAGAUCAACUGUCACUGUACUGCAGUGCUUGUCUUGAGGAACCCUUAUUUUACUCAAUAAUGGCCCCAAAGCACAAGAGUGAUUAUGGUAGCAUACUGUUAUAAUUGUUGUAUUUUAUUA
RNAcentral lists this long non-coding RNA (450 nucleotides) under Homo sapiens (human). RNAcentral describes it as "non-protein coding lnc-CDC42EP3-4:1". The record is from RNAcentral. Lineage: Eukaryota; Metazoa; Chordata; Mammalia; Primates; Hominidae.